AGCCAAAAGAAGCUCCACAGAGACUGCUGAGGACACGCGCUGCAUAAAGCAGCUUUUGACUACUCAGUGACUCAGAGGAAAACCCAGGACGCUCAUUAUAAAAUGUGGUAAGAUCACUUCUAAAAAUGGAUUUCCACAUUCCCUCUUUUGCUUUUGUUUCUUGGUCAGAUCAGCACAAGCUCCUCCUGCUAGCACAGUGGAGCUGUUCCUUCUGUCCCAGGCUCUGAGUUCUAUCUGCAGAUACUGCCAGAUUUUUCAUGCCUUUCUCCACCCCAACUGGCAGAAAUAUCCCCCAUCGUGUUGACCUAUGGACCAAGUGGAUCAGGGCCAUGAGGUGCAGGUCAAGUAUCCAGAGCUACAUAUGCAGCUUUUAAAGCACAGAAAAAUGUUGCCUCUAAUAGACUGGGAAGAGAGCUGCUUUGAUGUAGGGCGAUGGAAAAGGUCAGCUCAGUAAUCAGGGCCCAAAAGACUUGCAGAAGACAAAAAAAUGUGGAGCAGCUAUGAAGUUACGGAGAAUAUAACCACAGUGUUAUUGACUUGGUAAGUGGAGGAAAAGUUUUUAGGUCAUUCACUUUUCCAUCUAGUCCUUUCAAGUAAGCAGCUUGCAUCAAGGCUUUUUGUACCCUUUGUCUAUUGGUCUCAUUUUCAUCCCUGUCUUUCAGCUCUUAAUUCUGUUCUCAGGCCUACAUCCUCUUCAGAGCUUCCUUCCAUUCUAAUCCUGUCUUUUAUCUGUUGUGUUUACACUUACACUUUGUAAGAGCCCAUCAGCUCAGCUGCCCAGGGCGACAUCCAGCCUGGGCUUGAGCACCUCCAGGGAUGGGGCACCACAGCUUCUCUGGGCAGCUGUGCCAGGGCCUCACUACCCCCUGAGAAAAGGAUUAACUCCUAAUAUCUAAUCUAAAUUCCCACUCUUUUAAAACUAAAAUUAUAUCAGAUUCUGCAUAAAGUUGGUCUCCUUCCUACCUGUAAACUCCCUUCAGCUACUGGAAGGCUACAAUGAGAUCUUCCCAGUGUUUUCUUCAGGCUGAAUAAGCCCAGCUCCCUCAGCCCUUCCUCACAG
This 1060-nucleotide long non-coding RNA is filed under the name Coturnix japonica (Japanese quail). RNAcentral describes it as "lncRNA (ENSCJPG00005012736.1)". Lineage: Eukaryota; Metazoa; Chordata; Aves; Galliformes; Phasianidae. The record is from RNAcentral.